Long non-coding RNA from Dendrobium catenatum, 2110 nucleotides. RefSeq lists it as uncharacterized. NCBI's taxonomy places the organism in Eukaryota, Viridiplantae, Streptophyta, Magnoliopsida, Asparagales, Orchidaceae. The transcript is spliced from 3 exons. The record is from RefSeq and is a predicted model, not a curated record.
AUGGAUAUUACUUGACAUUUUAUAUAAUUAUAACAUAAUUCCCUAAUAUUAAUUUGUAAAUAAUUGAUUAACAUAAUAAAUCAUUAAUUGUUUAGAUGACAAAAGCUAAAAUACAUGGAACAUUAUUCUAGAAAGCUACUUAAAUCAUCAUUCUAAGAAAAAUGCUUGUCAGCUUUCAUACAACUAGAUUUUUUCCUAUAGCUAUUUUUCUUGGCAUAUUUAAUUGCUUCUGUUCAUGGAAGUUGAAUCAGACAGCUGAAAGUUAUGCCAAAUGGAGCCUUAUUAAAUUUAACCCUUUCUUUUCUAUCCUAAUAGAACCCCACCAUGAUUAUGUGGUUUUGUGCUCUUAGUGAAUUCUGUGUUUGAGUUUAUACAACUGGCCAUAAGGCCUAGAUAUGGUAGAACAAAUUGCCUGGUUGCUUAUAGUAUCAUCAAUUUGGCAUGCAGUUCACGGCAGUUAAUGGUGUAACUUUCUAAGAUUGGUACUUGUUAACAUUGGGCAUCAGAUUGCACAUAAUUUUUUAAUUUCCAUUUUUUAACAAUGAAAAAUGAUAAAUGAUAAACUGAUUGACAUUUUGAAGAUUAACGGUGUGCUGAAAUGCCAUGUGUAUCCAAUAAAAUAAUUUUAAUGAACUCUUAAAAAUCCCUCCAUGUUCUUAGGGCAUCUCCAACGGAAAAAUCCAUUUUAUACUCCAAAAUGCAGUAAAACUUCAAAAUGUAGUUAUUCUUCUCAAAUCAAACGUUGUUUCUUCUUCUUUCUCGCGCUUCCUGCAAAGGUAACCAUCUUUGGCGCGCUUUUCUCCCACUUUCGCUCGUUUCUUCGGUAAAACCCCCAGCCAAUUUUUUGGCGUAAGUGAACCGUCUGAAGCCAAUAUUGGCGUCAGACUGUUCACCUUCCAGAAUUUGGUGUGCGAUUUGGAGUUCGAAUGGAGCAAAUGACGGACGACAUACGGUGGUAUGGAGUUCGGUUGGAGAUGAUCUUAGGGAAGCCACUCAUCCUGUGAAUAUUGGUAAAUUUGACAUUCAUGGUAAUUUUCUUUCCUAAGGGAAUCGAAAGUCGGAUUAAGUCCGAUCUCCACUUUUCUGAACACUUCCUCACUAAAAAGAAUAAUACACCUACUCAUGCGAUGUUAGGUUGUCUAUGUUAAAGAGAAUGCUAUGGUGGAGGAGAUUCCAAUCCAUGCUUCGCGCUGUCAUUAGCCAGGACGAUGGUAACAUUGACGGGCGAGUGAGAUGGAAUUAGGGAAGGGUGUUCCAGAUUCUUGGCUUUAAGCUAAUGUUGUUGAUGAUGAAGAUGAGCUUGAGCCCUUCUAACUUCUAAGUAAUCUCAUAAUUCUUGACAAAGGAAUUAUAAAACAUAAUCAUUCAUCGAGAUUGCAUUGCUAAAGUGCUUGAUUGAAUAUUUCUAGAAGUUGCGCAUAAAGAUUUGCACAAGAUAAGAGUUAACAUCACAUGCAACACCUUAGUAGGAUCAGAUAUAACUGGAUAGGAUGGUGGAACAGGAUUCAUAGUUGGUUUUAGGCUAAUGAUGAUUAUGUUUGAUUCAAGUCUUAAGAUUAUUGUAAUUAACUAAUGCUGUUAGUGUUUGCAUGGAAGUGAUGUCUUUUUUCCUUCAGAAAAUGUUAGUUAGAAGAAGCUGAAGGAACUUCUUGUGACACUUGAUUGAGCUCUUCAUCAGAAGCCCCAAUUACUGGAUUUCAUAUUAUUUGCUAUCCUAAAACACUUUUAUUUAUGGACUUCUUGCAAACAAAUUCUGCAGGGCUCUGCUAGUGCUAUCUCUGGGGCCUUACAACCGGUGCAGGCUAGGAGCCAACAACAAUCUGGUGGAAUGCAGGAUAUCAAGCCUGAGAUGAAUCCGGCGUUGACUCCAAGAGUUGCUGUUCCUGAUGGAUCAUUAAAUGGAGUACCUGGUAAUAUCUCCUGCCUUCAAAUUUUUAUGAUUUGUAGACUUACAUUCUGCUUGGGAGCCGAGAAAAAGAAAAAAGAGAAGGAAAAUGUUUUCUUUUCUUUUUGAUUGAGAGCAUUAAGAAAGAAAGAAAAACUUCAUCCAAUUCUAAGAAAAGUAAGUGAACGAAAUAUUACUAUAAAUUUGACAUAUACCCUUGUAGAA